RNAcentral lists this ribosomal RNA (2084 nucleotides) under Salmonella enterica subsp. enterica serovar Worthington. Its description in RNAcentral is "partial 23S ribosomal RNA". It matches the Rfam family "Bacterial large subunit ribosomal RNA", at positions 1 to 1905 of the family's 2925-position model. Lineage: Bacteria; Pseudomonadati; Pseudomonadota; Gammaproteobacteria; Enterobacterales; Enterobacteriaceae. The record is from RNAcentral.
UUCAAGUCUUUAAGAGCAAACGGUGGAUGCCUUGGCAUCUGGAGCCGAAGAAGGACGUAGCAAUCUGCGAUAAGCCUCGGGGAACUGAUAAGCAAGUUUUGAUCCGAGGGUGUCCGAAUGGGGAAACCCCGCUGGGCGGCGUGCCGACCUAGUGACUCCCGCCUGAAUAUAUAGGGCGGGUAGAGGGAACGUGGGGAAGUGAAACAUCUCAGUACCCACAGGAAGAGAAAGCAACCGCGAUUCCGUUAGUAGUGGCGAGCGAAACCGGAUCAGGCUAAACCGAGUGUGUGUGAUAUCCGGCAGGAGUUGCAUAUUCGGGGUUGUGGGACUCACCAGUCAGUUCUGCCGAGCUGGCGACGUGACAGAAGCGUAUAGACGAACGGUCUUGAAAGGCCGGUCAUAGAGGGUGCCAACCCCGUAGUCGAAAUGCGUGUUCUGGCGUGGAGAGUAUCCCAAGUAGCACGGGGCCCGUGAAAUCCCGUGUGAAUCUGUCAGGACCACCUGAUAAGCCUAAAUACUCCCAGAUGACCGAUAGCGGACAAGUACCGUGAGGGAAAGGUGAAAAGUACCCCGGGAGGGGAGUGAAAUAGUACCUGAAACCGUUUGCUUACAAACCGUUGGAGCACCCCUGGUAGGUGUGACAGCGUGCCUUUUGAAGAAUGAGCCUGCGAGUUAGCGAUAUGUGGCGAGGUUAACCCGUGUGGGGUAGCCGUAGCGAAAGCGAGUCUGAAUAGGGCGAUUCAGUCGCAUGUCCUAGACCCGAAGCGAAGUGAUCUAUCCAUGGCCAGGUUGAAGCGACGGUAAGACGUCGUGGAGGACCGAACCCACUUAGGUUGAAAACUGAGGGGAUGAGCUGUGGAUAGGGGUGAAAGGCCAAUCAAACUUCGUGAUAGCUGGUUCUCUCCGAAAUGCAUUUAGGUGCAGCGUUGCGUGUUUCUUGCCGGAGGUAGAGCUACUGGAUGGCCGAUGGGCCCUACAAGGUUACUGACGUCAGCCAAACUCCGAAUGCCGGUAAGUGAGAGCGCAGCAGUGAGACUGUGGGGGAUAAGCUUCAUAGUCGAGAGGGAAACAACCCAGACCACCAACUAAGGUCCCAAAGCGCGUGCUAAGUGGGAAAGGAUGUGGAGUUGCUCUGACAACCAGGAGGUUGGCUUAGAAGCAGCCACCCUUGAAAGAGUGCGUAAUAGCUCACUGGUCAAGUGAUUCCGCGCCGACAAUGUAACGGGGCUCAAGCACGCCACCGAAGUUGUGGCAUUGACAUUAUUGGUAGGCCUUCGUGGUCCAGCCGUGUUGAUGGGUAGGAGAGCGUCGUGUGGCCAGCGAAGCGGCGGUGGAAACCAGCCGUGGAGGCUACACGAGUGAGAAUGCAGGCAUGAGUAGCGAAUGACGUGUGAGAAACACGUCCUCCGAAAGACCAAGGGUUCCAGGGUCAAGCUAAUCUUCCCUGGGUAAGUCGGGACCUAAGGCGAGGCCGACAGGCGUAGUCGAUGGACAACGGGUUGAUAUUCCCGUACCGGCGAAGAACCGCCCAAGCUAAUCCAGUGGUGCUAAACGUCCGAGCCUUCACAUCGUUGCCUUCGGGUGACACCGUGGAGGGGAGCACGUGACCCCAUGCUGGUGCGGUUAGCGUAUUAACAGGUGUGACGCAGGAAGGUAGUCCAAGCCAGGCGAUGGUUGUCCUGGUGCAAGUGCGUAGGCCGAGUCGUAGGCAAAUCCGCGACUCAUACAGGCUGAGACACGAUGCGGAUAAAAAGUGGAUGAUCCUAUGCUGCCGAGAAAAGCAUCGACGCGAGGUUCUAGCCGCCCGUACCCCAAACCGACUCAGGUGGUCAGGUAGAGAAUACCAAGGAGAUCGAGAGAAUCGUGGUUAAGGAACUCGGCAAAAUGCCCCCGUAACUUCGGGAGAAGGGGGGCCUUCGACGUAUUAGGACUUGCUCCGAAAGCGUUUGGAGGCCGCAGAGACUAGUGGGUAGCGACUGUUUACUAAAAACACAGGUCCGUGCCAAGUCGCAAGACGAUGUAUACGGACUGACGCCUGCCCGGUGCUGGAAGGUUAAGAGGACCGGUUAGCCGCAAGGCGAAGC